This 870-nucleotide ribosomal RNA is filed under the name Kylindria chinensis. RNAcentral describes it as "Kylindria sp. SM-2018b partial 28S ribosomal RNA". It matches the Rfam family "Eukaryotic large subunit ribosomal RNA", at positions 77 to 979 of the family's 3401-position model. The record is from RNAcentral. Lineage: Eukaryota; Fungi; Ascomycota; Sordariomycetes; Glomerellales; Reticulascaceae.
GCCUCAGUAACGGCGAGUGAAGCGGCAACAGCUCAAAUUUGAAAUCUGGCUCUCGGGCCCGAGUUGUAAUUUGUAGAGGAUGCUUUGGGCGCGGUUCCUUCCGAGUUCCCUGGAACGGGACGCCAUAGAGGGUGAGAGCCCCGUACGGUCGGACGCCAAGCCUAUGUAAAGCUCCUUCGACGAGUCGAGUAGUUUGGGAAUGCUGCUCUAAAUGGGAGGUAAAUUUCUUCUAAAGCUAAAUAUUGGCCAGAGACCGAUAGCGCACAAGUAGAGUGAUCGAAAGAUGAAAAGCACUUUGAAAAGAGGGUUAAAUAGCACGUGAAAUUGUUGAAAGGGAAGCGCUUGUGACCAGACUUGCGCCUGGUAAAUCAUCUAGCGUUCUCGCUAGUGCACUUUGCCGGCACAGGCCAGCAUCAGUUUGCCGUUAGGGAUAAAAGCUUCUGGAACGUAGCUCUCUUCGGGGAGUGUUAUAGCCUGUUGCAUAAUACCUUUCGGCGGACUGAGGUUCGCGCUCCGCAAGGAUGCUGGCGUAAUGGUCAUCAGCGACCCGUCUUGAAACACGGACCAAGGAGUCAACCUUAUGUGCGAGUGUUUGGGUGUCAAACCCCUACGCGUAAUGAAAGUGAACGCAGGUGAGAGCUUCGGCGCAUCAUCGACCGAUCCUGAUGUCUUCGGAUGGAUUUGAGUAAGAGCAUAUAGGGUUGGACCCGAAAGAAGGUGAACUAUGCGUGUAUAGGGUGAAGCCAGAGGAAACUCUGGUGGAGGCUCGCAGCGGUUCUGACGUGCAAAUCGAUCGUCCAAUAUGCGCAUGGGGGCGAAAGACUAAUCGAACCUUCUAGUAGCUGGUUUCCGCCGAAGUUUCCUCAGGAU